UGUCACAAAUAAAGAGACUCAGGCUUGGAGACAUUAAGUGAUGCAUUCCAAGAUCACCUGUGGAAGCAACUGAGGAGGACCAGAAGCUUCCUUCCAUGCUGGGGUUUGGAACCCUCUUCCAAGGUAAUUCCUGGCCUGAGGAAAAGGAAGAAGCAUGUUCAUGCCCAUACUUCACCAAGACACCAGUUCCUGCCCAGAGCCUCAGGAAUACCCAGACACAAUUGAACUGAGCAACAUACGCAGGACAGGCUCACUGCUUACAUGGAUUUCACGUCAGAAGUUCUGAGAGAUCCAAUGCACCACGGGAGGAACACAAAGGCUGAAGUCUGGAGAGUGCCAAGCAGCCAUUACAGGAAUGUGGAGGUCCACUGCGCAGAGAGAGAAAACCUUGUUAACACAGGAGUGGCAUCCCCAGAAAGAGAAGCAGGCACCUACCCAGCCACACCCCCUAACUCCUCAAGAGGAUGGCAGCAUGCUCAGAGAGGUAAUGCUCAAGUCUUCUACUGUAGCAUCUGCUGCAAAUACAACCUGUCAAACGCACCAGAUUGCUGGAGAUGCCCCAAUCCCUUCCCACCAGAAUUCUCACCCUUUCCAUGCUACUGUCUGUGGUUGCCUGGGAGCACCUACAUUUUGUCUGCAUAGCAGACUCUGCUUCUUCUGGAAACUUUCCAAGAAUACUGCUACUUUCUUACAAGGACCCCCUCAAACCCCCUCCAAGCUGAGGCAGAGUGCUGUCCAGGAGUUUCAACAUGAGAGUUUUUUCUUUACAAUUGCUUAGCCUUCAGGUCAGAACGUAGAUCUGCUGUCUCUUAUAUUAUGUGGUUCAUUUCUCUCUCUCUCUCUCUCUCUCUCUCUCUCUCUCUCUCUCUCUCUCACACUCUCACACACACACACACACACACACACACACACACCCCUGAAGACAAAAUAGACCAGUUUUCCCCCCCACCUCAAUUUCAAUCCCAAAUAGCAUUUUGGGAAAUGGUUACACGCAUUUGCAGAAAACUUGCAAACAUUGGAAAAGUAAAGCUGAUGCUAUGCCCUUCAGGAUGAAGUUAGGCUCCUGCACCCCAUGGCUUAUUUCUCUCUUGUCACCAUUUUCAAAAUGUGAACUUAGAUGCCUGAAAAGACACUCCUUUAAAACAGAAGUGAUGGUGUAGUACCCAUUCACAACCUUUUUCUGAAAGACCAGCCUAACAGUCAACAUGUGGCGUACUUCUGUCACUGCCAGCCUGCCAACAUUUAAGAAAAGGGGGAACAGUCCCUACCUUUAUGUGCUCAUUAACCUAAGGGAAGAAGCCAGGCCCAGAAAUUUAGAUAGCAGCUUCUGGCUACCCAGGUUCAUCUGCAGGAGGGGACACACAAGAGGAAAUGGGUAGACAAUCAGACCCAACCAGACCUCCUGGGCCUCAACCAGAGCCCACAAGUCUGGAUAAGCUAUAGCUCUUGCCUAGUUUACCCCAUGCCCUGGUGGGGGGCGGAUUUGGAGGCUCAUGGUCACCUGACCAUGCCUACCAUAAUGCCUCCCCAAACAGGCCAGUUUUAGGCAGUUCUUAAGCCUCAGGAGAGAUUGUCAGUCAAGGUGAAAACACCCUGCAAGAUACUUGUCCAUGAUGAGAUCCAAUUCUGCAACCCAAAAGCAUCUGUGCUAAGGCAAAUUAACAAAAAGGUACCCAAGGGUGACUACAGGCAAAUUCAGUCUGCGGUUCACUUGGAACAGAAGCAUUGAGACAUCCACAGUGUGACCAAACACCAACCAAACCACCCUGUCACUUAACCCAGACCUUACAUUUCAUUUGCUCCUAUUUUGCCUUCUUGAUGCAACUCCUCCAGGCCCAGCACUGGGCCCAACUAUCUGCUGUCGAUAUCACAUUGGAGAAAUGAUUAAAUCAGCACCCACCCAGGGAUAUCAGCUCCAAUAUCCCAUCAACUGCUAAUAGGACCUUUAGGGCUCUCAGGGACAACCUCCUUAGUUAAUUUAAUCAAAGCCCAGCGAAGGCACAAGGGGCUUUCUGGGAAGGAGUCAGGAAGAUGUUUAAUGAGGAUGCAGAACAACCUGAGAUCAGGUCUCUGAGUGACAAUCAGCUCCUUGUGUCUAAGCUAUCCCACAUAGCACAGGGCUAUGCGACUGAAUGAGCCACAGAAUUAGUAAAGGAAGUGAAGACAGACGCUUUGCCUGCAACCAGCUAACCAAAUGCCAAAGAAACAAUGUGAGCCAAUCAGCCAAAAGGGUAAACUGUUCUUAUUUGAUAGACCUACACAAGAGUACCACAGGCUCCUUGAUGGCUUUCCCUCACAUCAGCAGCUCAGGUUGAAGUGGCCACAUCUUCCCUUCCAACGAGAACCAUCAAGUAAGUGGCUACUCAGUGAGUCCAUUGUGACUGGAGGUAUGGGUAGGGAACAGAAAACCAUGCUAUCUAUACUGAAGGUCCGGCCACCAGGGCCACCAGGACAUGGGAAACGACUGCCAGGCCACUGACUAGUGUCCUUGUAUGGGCCCCAGUCACAAGUGCCUGAGUCCUAUCAGUAACUCUCCAAAUGCUGGUGUUUGCAGAGUCAAGGCCAGCCACAACCAACCACCUACAAAAUCAAAUUGCAUACAGCACAGGAGUCACCCUGCAGUAACCAUGGAUGUGGCCUGGAGAAAGCAGCAUCCCACAUUCUGGCCUUAGCAAAUGAAAACAUAGAGUGUGUGUGUUCAGAAAUCUCAUGUUUUGUCACAAGAGCGGAAAAAUGGGGCCAAGGACAGAAGGUAGAGGUAGGACCCCUUAACCCCCAUCCUUUGGCAGUACUGGGGACGGAACCCUGGGCCUUGCAUAUGCUAGCUAGCAAGUGUUCUGCCACUGAGCCACACCCCAGCCUCAAGGCAGCAUUUGAACAGUAACUCCAGGGACCAUAGACGGGCAGGGAACUCAGCUCAAAGACCAUCUUCUCUGUCAGGGGUAAAAGGCCAGUCAAGAGUCAAAAAAGGAAAAACACUUCAUACCUCUUUCUCAGCUAGUUUAAGAGGAAGCACAGAAUUUUUCAUGGACAGUCUGAAUGUCUCUUCAAAACCCAAAGAGCUACAAAAUCCAAAACUUUCUGAGCACCAAAACAAGACUUAAAAAUUUUGAAUUUUGCAUCUUUUCAGAUUUCCAGGUGUUUCUGUUGUUGCAUUCAUGACAACCAAUAGACAAUAUAAAAUUCCAAAAUCUGAAAAACUCCCAAGAUAGAGAAACACUUCUAUUCUCAAGCAUUUUGGAUAAGGAAUACUCAACCUAUGCAACUUUCCUUCUAGCUUGGUUUAAAAUGUCCCAUAGAUGAAUCUGGUAUAAAGAUCUGGCCCAGGCAGGAAAGUGGACUACUUGCACUCCAUGUACCCACAGAUAUCUCACAGGUGACAUGGGAGGCAGCCAGUAGGUCGGCCAAAUUCCAAUCCCAGGUUGAUUCCUUCUAGCCCUAUGUCCACUGAACCUUUUUCCUUAUCAGUGCCUGCCUCCCAUUUUUAUAUUUUGAAUGCACAUGAAGUACUGAAUACUGCCAACACCUAGGACCUGCUCAGUUUGCAAAGAUAAGCCAUUUCCAGGCCAGCCUCAUUCACAUCGAGAUCAAUAAGCACAUGAGUAUACACAUGCUGUGGAAGUUCUAUACAUUUGGGGAGUAACUCUUGCUCCAUUAUUAAGAAGCCUGCAAUUCCAUGGAAAAUGAUAUUGACAAGACCUGUAGUCAAGCCAGGCAUGGCAGCACAUGCUAAUGGUAGUUUCAGCUACUUGGCUGAGGCAAAAGAUUGACUUAAGCCUAGGAGUUUCAGGCCAACCUGGGCAAUACAUGAGACCCCAUCUAUACACCUGCCUCUAGCAACACCAAUAAACAUCUGUUGUGUCAGGA
Non-coding RNA from Ictidomys tridecemlineatus (thirteen-lined ground squirrel), 3867 nucleotides. Lineage: Eukaryota; Metazoa; Chordata; Mammalia; Rodentia; Sciuridae. The record is from RefSeq and is a predicted model, not a curated record.